Molecule: ribosomal RNA, 898 nt
Filed under: uncultured archaeon
Lineage: Archaea
Description: bacterial SSU rRNA
Rfam family: Archaeal small subunit ribosomal RNA
Source: RNAcentral
CCCGACUGCUAUUUGGGUGAGGAAUAAGCCAGGCGAGUCGAAUGGGAAACCUAAACUUCCCAGGGCAAACUGCUCAGUAACACAUGAUCAACUUACCCUACAGAGAAAAAUAACCUCGGGAAAAUGAGGAUAAUAUUUCAUAAUUGAAAAGGCUUGGAAAAGUUUUUCAACUAAAGGAUAAGAAAAAUGGUUUUUAUUCGCUGUAGGAUAGGAUCGUGCUCGAUUAUGGUUGUUGGUGAGGUAAUGGCUCACCAACCGAUAAUCGAUAGGGGCCGUGAGAGCGGGAGCCCCGAGAUGGGUACUGAGACAACGACCCAGCCUUACGAGGCGCAGCAGGCGCGAAACCUCCGCAAUACACGAAAGUGUGACGGGGUUACCCAAAGUGUUCAAUUAUGAACUGUGGUAGGUGAGUAAUGUUCCCUACUAGAAAGGAGAGGGCAAGGCUGGUGCCAGCCGCCGCGGUAAAACCAGCUCUUCAAGUGGUCGGGAUAAUUAUUGGGCUUAAAGUGUCCGUAGCCGGUUUAGUAAGUUCCUGGUAAAAUCGGGUAGCUUAACUAUCUGUAUGCUAGGAAUACUGCUUUACUAGAGGACGGGAGAGGUCUGAGGUACUACAGGGGUAGGGGUGAAAUCUUAUAAUCCCUGGUAGGACCACCCAGUGGCGAAGGCGUCAGACUGGAACGUGCCUGGCGGUGAGGGACGAAAGCCAGGGGAGCGAACCGGAUUAGAUACCCGGGUAGUCCUGGCCGUAAACGGAUGCAUACUAAGGUGAUGGCAUGGCCAUGAGCCAUGUCAGUGCCGUAGGGAAACCGUUAAGUGUGCCGCCUGGGAAGUACGGUCGCAAGGCUAAAACUUAAAGGAAUUGGCGGGGGAGCACCACAAGGGGUGAAGCCUGCGGUUC